This 460-nucleotide ribosomal RNA is filed under the name uncultured bacterium. Its description in RNAcentral is "partial 16S ribosomal RNA". It matches the Rfam family "Bacterial small subunit ribosomal RNA", at positions 338 to 795 of the family's 1533-position model. The record is from RNAcentral.
CCUACGGGUGGCAGCAGUGAGGAAUAUUGGUCAAUGGCCGGAAGGCUGAACCAGCCAGGCCGCGUGAAGGACGAAGGUGCCAAGCAUUGUAAACUUCUUUUGUCAAGGGACAAAAUCAGGCUCGAGAGCCUGACCGAGGGUACUUGAAGAAAAAGCAUCGGCUAACUCCGUGCCAGCAGCCGCGGUAAUACGGAGGAUGCGAGCGUUAUCCGGAUUUAUUGGGUUUAAAGGGAGCGUAGGCCGGCUUUUAAGUCAGCUGUGAAAGUCCGCGGCUCAACCGUGGAAUUGCAGUUGAAACUGGAGGCCUUGAGUGCACACAGGGAUGCCGGAAUUCAUGGUGUAGCGGUGAAAUGCUUAGAUAUCAUGAAGAACUCCGAUCGCGAAGGCAAGUGUCCGGGGUGCAACUGACGCUGAGACUCGAAAGUGCGGGUAUCAAACAGGAUUAGAUACACGGGUAGUC